Long non-coding RNA from Chenopodium quinoa (quinoa), 1134 nucleotides. RefSeq lists it as uncharacterized. Lineage: Eukaryota; Viridiplantae; Streptophyta; Magnoliopsida; Caryophyllales; Amaranthaceae. The transcript is spliced from 6 exons. The record is from RefSeq and is a predicted model, not a curated record.
GCACACACACACACUCUCUCUCCUCUUAUGUUCUUCCUAUCUCUCUUCUCCUCCUCUUUUCGCCUUUCUCCCUCUAUCCUCCUCUUCACUUCUUCCUCAAUUCAAGAUCGAGUUGGUUGGUCCUAGCAACGGCGCAAGGAGUUGAUACAAACCCAUCACCUUUCAUCGUUUCCCCCUCUCGAAAUGAUCGAUGUUCUUGAAGGAAUCAAAAGGCUAGAAUUUGGUUGCCAAGGAAGCCAUGGAAUUUGAGAUCAAAGUUGGAGCAACUCGGAAUAAUGGUGGAAGAUGUUUGAAGAAGGCACAGAGCAAUUCAGGUUGAAUGUAGCUUUACAGAGGAGUCAAUUUGGUGUUUCCUUUGUGAAGCUCGACUAUAUGGGGUUGAUGAAGCUAGGAAACGUUAUCUUGAGGAGAGUUGGAGGGACGUGACAUUGAGCAUGGUGCAUUCAAGGAGCUUUCCCGGUUCUUAUCUAGCUCAAAUCUUCUGCAAACUUACCAGAAGAAGUGUGUUAAUGACUACUCAGCAGGAGCCAACAAUGCUUACCUAUUUGAUCUUUGGCGCCUCCAACGUGACAUUGGCCUUUAUUUUUGGGAUUGCUCGGAAUGGAAAGCGUUAAAAAAGAUAGCGGAGAAUACAUUGUUUUAUGUGCAGCGUGCCAACUCCAUGUUAUUAAUCCUCAGUUCAAGCUCCCAGCGUGCUAGCUUUUGUAACAAUUUUAACUCUCGAUAUGGGGGAUGUGAGAAGGUAAGAAGGGUUUGGGAGCUUAGCUUGAUUAUGCUGAAGAGGCUUAAUUUUCCAAAAGGUUAACAACAAUAGGGGGGUCUUUGCGCUAUUGCUCAGUGUGGGUCUCUUCGUUACAAGCUUCUUGAAGUCGCUCUGCUGUUAGAAGGGUUUAUUUGAGGAAUGUUUUGGGUUCAUCUAGAGUUUGCCACUCGACUGUCAUCCCUGCUGCCCCACCAUAUCCCGUGCUCCUCCUCGCAGCUUAGUUUUCUACUGUAAAAUAAUUGAAGUAGUGUUGUAGUGUUGAGCUAGUUGAUUAUUUUAAUUAUUAGGUGAUAAUUAUUAGCUUGGUUUUCUACUGUAAAAUAUUUUUUUUAUUUUAAUUAUUAGGUGAUAAUUGAACUUUGAUGAUUGUA